UGUAUUUUUUAUAUAUUUCUAUAUGUAAUGCUGGAGACAUGAACUAUAUAUAUGUAUUUUCAAGAUCCAUUCGAGUUUUCUUUAGUUACAUUAAUUUCCAUAUAGAAAUGACCGCAAAUAAUAAUGCAAGAAACACUGAAAAUAUGCAAGAAACGCUGAAAGUACUAAUGCAAGAAACACUGAAAAUAAUAAUUCAGGAAACACUGAAAAUAAUAAUUCAAUAAACACUGAAAAAAGUGAGUUUGAAGACAAGUGAUUGUGGGUCCCGCUUUGGAAAAAGGAAGAAAAAAAAACUCGAAAAAAUGAGCAGCAACUUGCCAAAUAGGCCUCGAACCUGCCAUAAUUAUCAGUGUCGGGCUCCUCGGGGCCGAUAGUGAUACCAAAAAAUUUAAAAUCAAAAUUUCAACGAUAUAUGUUUGUAAAUUUGUCGUUUCUUGCCGGCCUCUUUCUUCUAGAGUUCAUGUGCGGAGCUAUUCGGUUGUUGAUUGAUGG
This 492-nucleotide long non-coding RNA is filed under the name Brachypodium distachyon (stiff brome). Its description in RNAcentral is "long non-coding RNA (BDIS_LNC002269)". The record is from RNAcentral. Lineage: Eukaryota; Viridiplantae; Streptophyta; Magnoliopsida; Poales; Poaceae.